AGCGAACGCUGGCGGCAGGCUUAACACAUGCAAGUCGAGCGCCCCGCCAGGGGAGCGGCAGACGGGUGAGUAACACGUGGGAACGUACCCUUUGGUUCGGAACAACCCAGGGAAACUUGGGCUAAUACCGGAUAAGUCCGCGAGGAGAAAGAUUUAUCGCCGAAGGAUCGGCCCGCGUCUGAUUAGCUAGUUGGUGUGGUAACGUCGCACCAAGGCGACGAUCAGUAGCUGGUCUGAGAGGAUGAUCAGCCACACUGGGACUGAGACACGGCCCAGACUCCUACGGGAGGCAGCAGUGGGGAAUAUUGGACAAUGGGGGCAACACUGAUCCAGCCAUGCCGGGUGAGUGAUGAAGGCCCUAGGGUUGUAAAGCUCUUUCGGUGGGGAAGAUAAUGACGGUACCCACAGAAGAAGCCCCGGCUAACUUCGUG
RNAcentral lists this ribosomal RNA (431 nucleotides) under uncultured bacterium. Its description in RNAcentral is "partial 16S ribosomal RNA". It matches the Rfam family "Bacterial small subunit ribosomal RNA", at positions 29 to 507 of the family's 1533-position model. The record is from RNAcentral.